This 329-nucleotide unclassified non-coding RNA is filed under the name soil metagenome. RNAcentral describes it as "partial contains 5.8S ribosomal RNA, internal transcribed spacer 2, and large subunit ribosomal RNA". The stretch from base 1 to 120 matches the Rfam family "5.8S ribosomal RNA", at positions 35 to 154 of the family's 154-position model. The record is from RNAcentral.
GAUGAAGAACGUAGCGAAAUGCGAUAAGUAAUGUGAAUUGCAGAAUUCAGUGAAUCAUCGAAUCUUUGAACGCACAUUGCGCCCCCUGGCAUUCCGGGGGGCAUGCCUGUUCGAGCGUCAUUACAACCCUCAAGCUCUGCUUCGUAUUGGGCUCUGCCGGUCCCGGCAGGCCUUAAAAUCAGUGGCGGCGCCACUCGGCUUCAAGCGUAGUAAUUCUUCUCGCUUCGGAGACCCGGGUGCGUGCUAGCCAGCAACCCCCAACUUUCUCAGGUUGACCUCGGAUCAGGUAGGGAUACCCGCUGAACUUAAGCAUAUCAAUAAGCGGAGGA